This 1990-nucleotide long non-coding RNA is filed under the name Homo sapiens (human). RNAcentral describes it as "HSALNT0112459". The record is from RNAcentral. Lineage: Eukaryota; Metazoa; Chordata; Mammalia; Primates; Hominidae.
CUCGAUCUCCUGACAUCGUGAUCCACCCGCCUCGGCCUCCCAAAGUGCUGGGAUUACAGGCGUGAGCCACCGCGCGCAGCCAUAUCACGUUUUUAAUAGGAAGUACUGAAAGAAGUGUGGUUUUUUUAGAUAGACCACAAUGAAAAAGGAAAUAAUUGCCUUAAAAGUUGUCUCACAGUUCUGAGAAUGACAUGAAACCAUAGCACCUCCAAUUGGACAUGACUUGAGGCAUCACCUUGUCAUCUACCUCUCUAAAGGAGACUUUGAGAGAGAUUGAGAGGGAAUCUGUUUUGUUUGUUUGUUUGUUUGUUUGUUUUGCAUUUUCCAGGUUUUAGAGGAUACUUACAUUUCUUGGCUCAUGACCCCUUCCUUCACUUUCAAAGUUAGUCAUGAUUGGUCAAGUCUUUCUCAUACUGCACCACUCUGACACUUCGUGUUUGUAGUCAAAUAGUCCCUCUCCUUUCCUCUAAUAACCAUUGUGAUUACAUUGGGCCUAUCCGGAUAAUACAGGCUAAUCUCCCUGUGAUGGUUAAUAUCGAGUAUCAACUUGAUUGGAUUGAAGAAUGCAAAGUAUUGUUCCUGGGUAUGUCUGUGAGGGUACUGCCAAAGGAGAUUAACAUUUGAGUCAGUGGACUGGGAGAGACAGGCUCACCCUCAAUCUGGGUGGGCACCACCUAAUCAGCUGCCAGAGUGGCUAGAAUAAAGCAGGCAGGAAAAGAUGGAAGAGCAGACUUGCUGAGCCUUUCAUCCUUCACCUUUCUAGCAUGCUGGAUGCCUCCUGCUCUUGAACAUCAGACUUCAAGUUCUUCAGCUGUUGGACUUUCGGACUUACCCCAGUGGUUUGCUUGCCACAGACUGAAGGCUGCACUGUUGCUUCCCUACUUUUGAGGUUUUGGGACUCGAACUGAUCCACCACUGUCUUCCUUGCUGCUCAACUUGCAGACGGCCUAUCGUGGGACUUUACCUUGUGACUGUUGAAUGAAAGAGAUCAAGAGAACUGAAUCUCUAAGCCACUACCCAUCUUCAUACAGGGUGGAAGAAUAUACAAGACAGAAGAUCUCAUUUAACUGAAAAUUUAACUUCGACUUUAAUAUUCCUAGAGUUUUUCUACACAUGAAAUAUUAGAAAACAUGCUACCUUUUCACAGGUCUUCGAAUCAAGAAGGGGCCUUGAGGAGCUGCACCCAAAGAAAUGAACUCAAGUAUUGUCAUCUGUACCUGCCUUCAUUGAGAUGAUGAAGCCUUAACUUGUUGCUUUAGCAACACGAGACUUUGGGGAUGUCUUGGGAGGAAGUGAGUACAUCAUGCAUGUGGAAGAAAUGUAAAUAAAUUUUGGUCAUUUUAAAACCUGACCUAGAAAUUCUCUGACACUCCUCCCAUCAAAAACUGGGGCCUAUAUAACAUCCCAUUAAAUUUUAUUUCUGUGACUAUUUGAGCAAUAGAAUAUAGUGGAAUUGAUGUUUUGCUAGUUUUGGGGCCAAAGCCUUAAGAAACUGGCAGCUGCCACUUCCUGUUGCUUGGAGUACUUGCUCCUGUAACCCAGGCAUCAAUCCAUGAGGAUGCACCCUGUGGAGGUGCCCAUAUAGUGAGGCCCAUGUGGAAAGGAACCAAGCAGCCCCUGCUCUCAGCCUGAGUUGAGCUCGUGAACAAUAGACAGCACCAAAUUGCACCCCAUGUGAGUAAAUCAACUUAGAGGUGGAUCCUCCAGUUCCCAGUGGAGUGGCCCCUGCUGAUACUAUCUUGAAAAGAAAUAAACUUUCUCUGCCUGAUCCCAUUUCAUACCAUAAUAAUUGUGAUUUAUCUAUGCAGUAACAGACAACCAAAACAUAACUAUCACAAGAUAAAUAAUCUUGAGGAAAAGGAAGAUGUUUUGGUAGUAAAAUUAUGAGUGCUACAGAGGGUUAAGAGAAUUGUUAUUUUUAAGAAGUAAUCUCUCUCUUUGUAGAUUUAUACUACCCAGACCAGGUGUCUAAUAAAAUAAUCUCUGAAAA